CAUGCAGGCGGUCGGACGCGUUUCCAGUGACAGCGGGUGGCUUACCUACCCGAGUAUUGGAAAGACGGUUCGACUUGAGGACUCGAGAGGGACACGGAAUUCCGGGUGGAGUGGUGAAAUGCGUAGAGAUCCGGAGGAACAUCGAAGGCGAAGGCAGUGUCCUGGCGAGUGACUGACGCUGAGGUGCGAAAGCUAGGGGAGCGAACGGGAUUAGAUACCCCGGUAGUCCUAGCCGUAAACGAUGACCACCAGGUGUGGGAGGUAUCGACCCCUUCUGUGCCGGAGGCAACCCACUAAGUGGUCCGCCUGGGGAGUACGGUCGCAAGAUUAAA
Molecule: ribosomal RNA, 332 nt
Filed under: uncultured bacterium
Lineage: Bacteria
Description: bacterial SSU rRNA
Rfam family: Bacterial small subunit ribosomal RNA
Source: RNAcentral